CUCAAACAAGGCUCGUUUUCUUGGUUCGACCCGAAUUUUAUGUCUUCUCCCCAAAUCUCCACCUCGGCCCAAAAGUCAGAAAAUCCGUAAAUCGGAUGUCUGCAGUUCUAAUUUUCACGCUCUCUCAAUUCGGCUGUUGGGCAAUCUUUGCUUUUUUACUUCCAAUCAGGACUAGGGUUUUGACGCUUUCAAUUUGGGGUUCUUUGAUAUGUAAGUGAUUUUGUUAUAAUUACGUUUGUUAGAUUUACCUAAAGUACCAUUGCUUGAAAAUUCUCGCUGAUUAGUCGGUAAUGUAGAUAUUAUACUUUUUCUCAGUUAACUUGUAUGCUGCUGAAAUCAAAAUAAUAUUAUGUUGACUGUCUUGCGGUAUUCUUGAAUAUGUUAGAUACGAGGUGUAAACUACCAAACAAAGAAUGUAAUGAGGAUUGAUAACGAGGUUACUUCUAUGCUUGUGAUGACAUUAUGGUACAAGGGUGGUUUGUGAGUUUCAUUUGUCUCUAUGGGUAAGAAUAAAACCUUGGAGGUAUAAGUACUAGAAAAACCAAGUAAUCCUUGGGGACACCGACCAGCCUGUGACUAAAUACGAUAGAAAAAAACUUUAACAACCAAUUUGAAAUUACAAACUCUGACGACGAUUGUUGAAUUUACUCAAUCAUAUGAGGCAACGUUACCCAAUGAUACGUUAAGGAAAAAAAGAUUAGGUGGUUGAGGACUCGUGUCUCACAUCAAUUUAAAGAGAUUAACGUUUAUAAAAGUGACAUUAUCUCUAUAGUGCAAGUGAAAAAUGGAUCCAUAUACUAGAGCUCAUGUACAUCACAAAGGCUUCUAUAUUUUCAUUUGGAACUUAGAGGUGAAGUUUGAAAAGUUUAAGAUCAGUAUAAGAGAAUAACCAAUGUUCCAAGGACUAAAAAUACAUUUAUCAGAGUAUAUGCAUUUAAUUUUGAAAAAGAUUACUUAAGGACAAAUGCUAAAAAUAGGUUAUAAGUUACUGAAAAUCAAGUUUUGAGUUUUAUAUGCAAAUUUUAUGAAGUUUCUAGAAUGCAAUUUUGAAGUAUGCAGGUUCCAUGGUUUUUAAUGCCAAACGAUAAUUGUAAAGCUGUUGCUUAAUACUGAAUUUAUUUGGUCCAAUUGGAAGUUGUGUCUGAGGAGUAAUUUGGGCACCUUAUUGAGCAGUUUGAAAAGUUAAGAGCUUAAAUAAUGACUUUAGUCCAUUGAGUUCAGUGAGAAUGUUGAAAAAUAUGCAACUAGCCGAGGAAAUGACUUUUCGUAGUUAGGCAUAAGUCCAAUUCGAAAGCUGGUUAGAUGAAACAAAACAAAGACAAUUAUACAUAGGCAUAGGCGCAAGUCCCAUUAUUUGGUGCAAAUAUUUUUAGAGGCAAAGCUUGUUUAAAAGCCUUGAACCAAUGCAAAUCUUAGUAUGAUGCAGUGGAACACUGCUUAAUUGUCAGCUAUCUCAUGAGCCUUUAUGAAUAAAGAAAACAAAGUACGUGACAAUGCAUCUUCAAUUGAAUUCACUGCUCAUUACUUGGCUAAUGUAGUUAUUAGUUGGUAACGUGAAUUAUACCCCUUUACAGCUCUGCUUAAACCAAGGAUGUAUCUAUUCUCGGAGACUUCUUUCUACUUAGGAAAAUGAAAAGAAACAAGAAUGAUGAAAUCCAUAUUAUAUUAGAAUCAAGUAAUUAAUAACUACAGAUGGGAGCAUUUGAGAAUACAAAUUCAUCUCUUCAUUUUCAGGCCAGAAACCUGUUGUGCAGAUAUAAGAAAUGGCCAUGUUUUCAACAUUAAAAAACACCAAUAUAUUAUACAAAUGAUAUUAUUUUCAAGGUGGUCUUUAAAUGACCUUUCAUUCCUCUCUCAAUUGUUUCUUUUCAAUUUAAGUAUUGGAAAACUAAAUAUAUUUUUCAAUUUAAUUAUUGGAAAAUUAAAAAUAUUGGGGAAAUUUUCCAAAACAUAUUUUAUGUGACCAAUAUAAACAGACAAACUAAAAAUAUUGUUCUUUUUUUUUUCUUCUUUAUGUAGGAAGAGCAGGAUUGAAAAAUGCAUAAACAAUCAUGACAAUUAGAGUAUAAGCAUCGAAAAUCUGAACUAUAUUGGUCUACUUUGCUUUCAGCUUUGAAAGAUAUUGAGUCGUAGAAAUUUCUAAGGUAUUUACAUCUCUCUCUGAGUCAGGGUCAUGUGAUUGUGAGUCUCUGUGAAAGAGUGCUUAUUUACAUGGGUGAUGCACCUGUCAUGGGUUUUUUACUGCUCAAUUCUUGUAGCCAACCACAUAAAUGGUUGCCUAGAAGAGACAAAAGAUGUGUGCCAUUAGAGAAAGAUUAGAGAAGGGUUCCAAUAAGCCUCAGAGUAUUUUAUGUCGAUUAUGGAUUUAGAUUCGUUUAGAUGCUGAUGGAAUUGGUGUCUAAUUUUUAUCUGUUGCAUCAUUUGGUUCGUCUUAUGAUGCAGUCGUUGUAUCAGUAGUGCUAAAAGUUAAUUAGAAUUAGGACAAAUGUUCUAGAUUGUUAUUCCAUAAAUUCACUACCCGUGAAACUUGGUUUUUCAGACUGCAAAGGUCCAGAUUAACAGCAUGAAAACGGACUCCAGUUAAAUAGGAAAGUCCACCGUCUGAACUGAGAUUGUUUGCAAUUGAAUCAUUUAGUUUUGUGGACUCCUGUG
This 2652-nucleotide long non-coding RNA is filed under the name Olea europaea subsp. europaea. The record is from RNAcentral. Lineage: Eukaryota; Viridiplantae; Streptophyta; Magnoliopsida; Lamiales; Oleaceae.